This 468-nucleotide ribosomal RNA is filed under the name uncultured bacterium. Its description in RNAcentral is "partial 16S ribosomal RNA". It matches the Rfam family "Bacterial small subunit ribosomal RNA", at positions 28 to 507 of the family's 1533-position model. The record is from RNAcentral.
GAUGAACGCUGGCGGCGUGCUUAACACAUGCAAGUCGAACGGUCAGGGCGGAGCUUGCUCUGCUGGAUCAGUGGCGAACGGGUGAGUAACACGUGAGCAAUCUGUCCCUGACUGUGGGAUAAGCCCUGGAAACGGCGGCUAAUACUGGAUACGAGCUGCUAAGGCAUCUUCAGCAGCUGUAAAGGAGGUCGGUCAUGGAUGGUCUCGCGGCCUAUCAGCUUGUUGGUGAGGUAAUGGCGGACCAAGGGUGCGACGGGUAGCCGGCAUGGGAGGGUGACCGGCGACAAUGGGACUACGACACGGACCAGAAGCGAACGGGCGGCAACGGUCGGGAAUAUUGCACAAUGGGCGAAAGCCUGUGGCAGAGACGCCGCGUGAGGAAAGACGGCCUUCGGGUUGUAAACCUCUUUUAGCAGAGAAGAAGCGAAAGUGACGGUACCUGAAGAAAAAGCGCCGGCUAACUACGUG